AUGCAGACUGAAAACAUAAAGCUUGAUAUUGAUGUUGCUGCGCCUGGUACGCUUGAUGAAGGCGACGACAGUCAAAACAAUAUAAUGACAUUGUCCUAUGCUGGUAGAACUCGUUAUAUGACUCAAAGCUAUCAUGAUGGAAUGGCAGCUUCGCAUGUCAACGACUCACCUGAUAUAGUCACCACAUUCACAUGUAACCCAAAGUGGGCUCAGAUAACAAAGACGCUUAGGCCUGAGCAACAAGAAAUCAAUAAGGCAGCUGACCCUGUUCGUAUCUAUCGCAUGAAGCUACUUGAGUAUCUGCAGAAGAUCAAAGACGGGAAGAUAUUUGGGCCUAUGGUCACUGGUACUGUGCCCGGGAUGAGCCGGCUGUUACAAAGACUAACGCAUCAAAAACAUUUGAGUGCUAGCUGA
Molecule: ribosomal RNA, 414 nt
Filed under: Triticum aestivum (bread wheat)
Lineage: Eukaryota; Viridiplantae; Streptophyta; Magnoliopsida; Poales; Poaceae
Description: partial small subunit ribosomal RNA
Source: RNAcentral